AGCAGCCGCGGUAAUUCCAGCUCCAAUAGCGUAUAUUAAAGUUGUUGCAGUUAAAAAGCUCGUAGUUGAAUUUCGGGGUUAGCAGGUCGGUCGUGCCAUCGGUAUGAACUGGUCUCGCUGAUCCCUCCCUCUUGACGAACUGUGAUACCAUUAAUUUGGUGUCGCAGGGAAUCAGGACUGUUACUUUGAAAAAAUUAGAGUGUUUAAAGCAGGCUCACGCUUGAAUACAUUAGCAUGGAAUAAUGAAAUAGGACGUUUGAUCCUAUUUUGUUGGCUUCUAGGAUUGACGUAAUGAUUAAUAGGGAUAGUUGGGGGCAUUAGUAUUCAAUUGUCAGAGGUGAAAUUCUUGGAUUUAUUGAAGACUAACUACUGCGAAAGCAUUUGCCAAGGAUGUUUUCAUUAAUCAAGAACGAAAGUUAGGGGAUCGAAGACGAUCAGAUACCGUCGUAGUCUUAACCAUAAACUAUGCCGACU
This 474-nucleotide unclassified non-coding RNA is filed under the name uncultured Glomus. RNAcentral's name for it is "SSU rRNA". It matches the Rfam family "Eukaryotic small subunit ribosomal RNA", at positions 569 to 1047 of the family's 1831-position model. The record is from RNAcentral. Lineage: Eukaryota; Fungi; Glomeromycota; Glomeromycetes; Glomerales; Glomeraceae.